This 256-nucleotide ribosomal RNA is filed under the name uncultured bacterium. RNAcentral's name for it is "partial 16S ribosomal RNA". It matches the Rfam family "Bacterial small subunit ribosomal RNA", at positions 524 to 777 of the family's 1533-position model. The record is from RNAcentral.
UACGUAGGGUGCGAGCGUUGUCCGGAAUUAUUGGGCGUAAAGAGCUUGUAGGCGGUUUGUCGCGUCUGCUGUGAAAAUCCGGGGCUCAACCCCGGACUUGCAGUGGGUACGGGCAGACUAGAGUGUGGUAGGGGAGACUGGAAUUCCUGGUGUAGCGGUGAAAUGCGCAGAUAUCAGGAGGAACACCGAUGGCGAAGGCAGGUCUCUGGGCCACUACUGACGCUGAGUGACGCGGAAAGCCAGGGAGCAAAGCGGG